GUAAUACUCCCUCCGUCCGGAAAUACUUGUCAUCAGAAUGGAUAAAAAGAAAUGUAUCUAGAUGUAGUUCUAGAUACGUCACUUUUUACAUCUAGAUACAUUUCUUUUUGUUCAUUUUGAUGACAAGUAUUUUCGGAUGAAGGGAGUAGUUG
This is a non-coding RNA of Triticum urartu, 152 nucleotides long. The record is from Rfam. Lineage: Eukaryota; Viridiplantae; Streptophyta; Magnoliopsida; Poales; Poaceae.